RNAcentral lists this ribosomal RNA (451 nucleotides) under uncultured bacterium. RNAcentral's name for it is "bacterial SSU rRNA". It matches the Rfam family "Bacterial small subunit ribosomal RNA", at positions 354 to 796 of the family's 1533-position model. The record is from RNAcentral.
GUGGGGAAUAUUGGACAAUGGGGGGAACCCUGAUCCAGCCAUGCCGCGUGUGUGAAGAAGGCCUUUUGGUUGUAAAGCACUUUAAGCGAGGAGGAGGCGCUCUAGGCUAAUACCCUAGAAGCGUGGACGUUACUCGCAGAAUAAGCACCGGCUAACUCUGUGCCAGCAGCCGCGGUAAUACAGAGGGUGCGAGCGUUAAUCGGAUUUACUGGGCGUAAAGCGUGCGUAGGCGGUCAUUUAAGUCAAAUGUGAAAUCCCCGAGCUUAACUUGGGAAUUGCAUUCGAUACUGGAUGGCUAGAGUAUGGGAGAGGAUGGUAGAAUUCCAGGUGUAGCGGUGAAAUGCGUAGAGAUCUGGAGGAAUACCGAUGGCGAAGGCAGCCAUCUGGCCUAAUACUGACGCUGAGGUACGAAAGCAUGGGGAGCAAACAGGAUUAGAAACCCUAGUAGUCC